CCUAGUCUGUAUGACACCCAACCUCCCCAGCCCUCUUCCUUCCAUCCCCUGAGCCCCGUUAAGUCGCUGGCUGUGCAGCUGUGGGACCCAACAGUGUGAUGAAGCAACGCCUCUGGUGUGCUGAAUGCUGGGACCGUCACAGAGAGGCUCCAAGGCUGACGUGGAUCUUCCUGUUUGGACUGCUUGCUGAGUUUCCCUGGAGUUGUUGAGCACGUGGGCUUCCCCACCUGCCCUGAUUGCUCACCAGGCCAUCGAUGCCCUUUGUGUCAUCAUGCCUCACAGCUUCAGUGACACCGUCAUAGGCAGCCACCAGGUUGGUCAAGCAGGAUUUACCCUUGGUGAAGCCAUGCUGGUUCUCCUGUAUCACCUCCCUGUCAUUUGCGUGCCUUAGCGCGACUUCCACGAGGAUCUGCUCGGUGCUGUUUCCCAGUACAGAGUCGGCUGUGCUCCUUGUCUGUUUCCUCGCACGGUUGGAACUCGAGCCAGCCUCG
Meleagris gallopavo (turkey) is the source of this 491-nucleotide non-coding RNA. The record is from RefSeq and is a predicted model, not a curated record. Lineage: Eukaryota; Metazoa; Chordata; Aves; Galliformes; Phasianidae.